Molecule: long non-coding RNA, 2511 nt
Filed under: Triticum aestivum (bread wheat)
Lineage: Eukaryota; Viridiplantae; Streptophyta; Magnoliopsida; Poales; Poaceae
Description: long non-coding RNA (TAES_LNC024487)
Source: RNAcentral
UUGACUACAUCGUGAAGAUAAAAGUGACAAAGAAAACAGAGUACCAGAUUACAUGUGCUAACUGGUAAAGAUAUAACAGGAAUAUUCCUGUCACCCUAUCUACACGAAAAAGCACCUGAAUCAAGCAGUGAGUUGAUAUCGACAUAUGAAAGCAAGGAGAAAAUUCCUUUCUAUACGAAACAACAUUAUCAUCAGCAAUACAAUAGUCCAUUGACCUGUUGCACCCCUUUUUCAAGAAGCUAAUUAAAACCAAGAAUUGGUACCCGUUUUAUAUGCACGUAGAUCAUUUCAUUAUUGGCUUGAGAGAAAACAAAUGUUUUGAUGCCAUAUUAUUCGAAGCCACUCUCAAUAAAUUAUUGAGAUGAACACUUUUGACUAAUGUGGAAACAUGGCAACAAAACGUAAUAUCUAAACGAACAACAUCCACCUUGAGGACUGAUGCAUAAGCAAUGACCUCUCAUAGAACCGUAUCCAUGUCAAGUAGGAUAUAAACAUGACACAGUUAAAUAAUAUGUAGUCGAGGGAAAUAAAGAUAAAGAAAGAUAGCUUUGUUCUUCAUACAUCUGGUACGAAACAAUGUGAAUCCACGUCUCUCACCAAGGACAAGGAAUCUUUACCCAGUUAGCAAAUUAAAAAUCAUGAAACGGUGGACCUGCGACUGUGUGACUGCUUAACUUGAAAGAUAUAAGCUAUACAUAAAGCUUAAACUUGAUGAAUGUGAACAUUCAGACACAUAGAAACAUAUGAGAACUCUGUUGGCAAUUAUCCAUAAACUUUAUAUCAUGCUAGUAACUGAGGUACACUACAGAUCAGAAAUGUGACAUUGUACUGUAAAACUAUAUAGUAGAGGUAACAUGGAAAGUAUGUAUCAUAUAGAUCAUUAGAAGUAUUGAUUUAUUCAGUACUUUGUGUCAUCGACUUAUCUUUACUAUUAUUUUCUCAGAAGGAAAUGCUCCUUGUGCCGCCACACAUACAUGUUACUACUCCGUCCCAUAAUAUAAGUAGUAGAUUAUUAGGUCCUUCUAUUUGAAAACAAAGUUCAACUUAUGUAUGGUACGAAUCAACACAGCAAACCAGGAGCUCUAUUUGGAAUUUGUAAACAAUAGAAAGUUGGAGAGCACUCAAUGAAGAAGCACAAAUAUAAGAAACGAAACUGGAUCUUGCCUGAAAAAAGUUAGGGGAUGCAUUUUAGUUAUCUUGAAGUCUGAACCCUGAAACAAACAUAUCUGAUUUGCAUUCUCUCAAAGAAGGAACUCAUUUUGCUGCUUCUCUGCGAUUUUUUGAUUCAUUCUUUGCCUAAACUGUAGCAUAUCUCUGCUCAUGUUUAUGCAUUGGAAGUAUACAUGAGAGAUGUUACUGAAAAACUGUUGCUUGUUAGCUGACUGAAAAAUUGCUGCUUAUCUCAGUAGUAAAACUAUUGUUGUUUGUACACUGAAAAACUGGUGCUUAUCUCAGUAGUAAAACUUCUACUAUUUGUUAAUUGGUUGAAAAACUGCUGCUGUUUGAACCAGUAUUAUGCACCUUAUGUAUCUCAUUAGUAAAAGAGUUUCUACACUGUCGUUUUGUUAAUUGGAAAACUGCUUGUUAACUGACUGAAAGAAUUCAAAUCACUUGUAUUCAGUACGGAUACAAUGCUGCUGUUUGUACUUUUUGAACUCUUAAAAUGUUUAGACCUUCACCAAUAAAUCUCCCGGAAACAAUUACUGGAUGCGAUCUCCCUCGAGGUCAAGUGAAAAUAUAUUUUUAUUGAAGUAGACAAACAAAAGUUGCACAUAUAUUUCUAUUGUUACAAUUGGCCAACCUGCAUCUUAAAAAUUAAAAUGCGGAAACAAACAUGAAUGGGAGAAAGUGAUGAUUCACCCCUUUCUUUUUCGUCAUGCUCUUUCACAAGAUUCUUUCUCCCCGUUCCUAUCUCAGAUAUGAAAUUCCACAAGAUUCUUUCUCUUCUUUUCUAUCACAGAUCUGAAAAAAACACAAAUUGAGAAAUCAAAAUCAUAGAAUCAGAGAACUAAGAUAAUAACUGGGGGAGGAGGGGGAGCAACCUAGAUUGGGGAUGGUGAUGAUGGAUGACGAGCUCCUCCACUCCACCAUGACGCGAGCGCCGCCUGGAAGUUCUGCUACUCUGCUCCCACCCCCACCGCCAUCGUCCUCUACUCCUCCAUGCCCACCACGAAGACCAUGUUGGCCCUGCUCUCCCAUGGUGGCGUCCCUCCUCUCCGUCUCUCUCUCUCCUGCAGAUCAAAUCGAGCGCCGCCGCUGCCCUUUGCUUGCAGGUUGCCACCGCCGCCGGAGAAACUCGCCGCCGCGUCCACACGCCUUGGAUCCGCGGGAAGGACUGGGUGAAGGGGACGAGGAUCUAGGGGAGGCGGCUGCGGGAUGGAGAGGGAAAAGGUUUAGGGUUGGGGACAGGGACAGGGAGGGGGAGGAGAGAGCGGAGGGGGCGCGGGGGCUGAGGAAUGCACAUCGAGCACGGGGCAGGCACCUAGUGGGUGGCUAAUCCCUUGAGGACAC